AGCGAACGUUAGCGGCGGGCCUAACACAUGCAAGUCGAACGCGAAAGGUCUUCGGACUGAGUAGAGUGGCGCACGGGUGAGUAACACGUAGGUAAUCUACCCUUUGGCGGGGGAUAACGUUCCGAAAGGAGCGCUAAUACCGCAUAAGACCACGGAGUCUCCGGACGCUGUGGGAAAAGGUGGCCUCUUCUUGAAAGCUACCACCGAAGGAUGAGCCUGCGUCCCAUCAGCUAGUUGGUAAGGUAAUGGCUUACCAAGGCGAAGACGGGUAGCUGGUCUGAGAGGAUGACCAGCCACACUGGAACUGAGACACGGUCCAGACUCCUACGGGAGGCAGCAGUGGGGAAUCUUGCGCAAUGGGCGAAAGCCUGACGCAGCGACGCCGCGUGGGUGAUGAAGGCCUCGGUUGU
This 410-nucleotide ribosomal RNA is filed under the name uncultured bacterium. RNAcentral describes it as "bacterial SSU rRNA". It matches the Rfam family "Bacterial small subunit ribosomal RNA", at positions 29 to 426 of the family's 1533-position model. The record is from RNAcentral.